GGACUUGAAUUUUGCUGUGGGAAUGAGAAAAACAUGGGAAGCUGCUGUCUGCCAAGCUAUUUCCUUAAGGAUCCACUUUACAUGCUGCCAAAUCGAUGACCUGUCAGGUGUAGUUAUGUGGCAUAGCAAUGAUAUGAGGUCAAUCAGGUGAAACCAAGCAAGGAAAUGCCAGAUUCAGCCCUGUUCCUCCUUCACACCAUGCCAGGGCCGCACUGCAGUAGCCAUUUGGAUUGCUGCAAACAAGCUGGCAAAGAAAAACAUCCAUAUGAGAGCUGUGCGGGAUGGCAAGAUGGAGACGGGGGCUGGAGGGGACUGCGCUCUCCUGGGUAGCUGUGUUUGGGCAAACUGCAAUCUGGCCCUCAGCGUGCAUCUGCUGGCAGCAUGGGUCCAACAACAGCCCUGCCAGGGGACCCCACCGGAGGCAGCAAGCCCCAGGGACCAGACUCUCCGCUCUGGCAGAAGUGAUUAAAGCCUCUCUUGCUCUCAUCAGGACAAACAUACUGCCAGGAUCGAGGCCUGUCCUCUCCAGAGCCCAGAAGGCCCUCCUGCAGCCUUUCCCCCCUCUCCACUGGCUGCUCAUCCCUCCAGCUUUGUCCCACCUGGAUGCAUUUUCCAUCGCCGAACCGCCAGGCAGCGGGGAGUCCUCCCAGCUGCCCAGGAUCCUGCCCACCUCUCUGCAGAAGAUGCGUCACGGUCUCCCGUUGUCCUUGAGGUUGCUACUUGCAAGGCCAUUGGGGUAAAACGCUGCCCUUCCAAUCCAUUGAGGGAAGUUGCUUUACAGAUUUGAGGAUUUGGUCAUGUACAGGGAGCAGAGGAAACUGAAGUCAUGACAUGUUUCUGGUAAUGCUGGAAUAAACGCUCAUCGAAAUGACA
Molecule: long non-coding RNA, 873 nt
Filed under: Apteryx owenii (little spotted kiwi)
Lineage: Eukaryota; Metazoa; Chordata; Aves; Apterygiformes; Apterygidae
Description: lncRNA (ENSAOWG00000009750.1)
Source: RNAcentral